This 236-nucleotide ribosomal RNA is filed under the name uncultured bacterium. RNAcentral's name for it is "partial 16S ribosomal RNA". It matches the Rfam family "Bacterial small subunit ribosomal RNA", at positions 118 to 354 of the family's 1533-position model. The record is from RNAcentral.
UGAGGAACCCACCCCGGAGACCGGAAUAACCCUCCGAAAGGAGAGCUAAUACCGGAUGUCCUCAUCGGAUCGCAUGUUCUGAUGAGGAAAUGGAUUCCGCUCCGGGACGGCCUCGCGGCCUAUCAGCUAGUUGGUGAGGUAACGGCCCACCAAGGCGACGACGGGUAGCUGGUCUGAGAGGACGAUUAGCCACACUGGGACUGAGACACGGCCCAGACUCCUACGGGAGGCAGNAG